AAGUCGUAACAAGGUCUCCGUUGGUGAACCAGCGGAGGGAUCAUUACCGAGUUUACAACUCCCAAACCCCUGUGAACAUACCUAUACGUUGCCUCGGCGGAUCAGCCCGCGCCCCGUAAAACGGGACGGCCCGCCCGAGGACCCUAAACUCUGUUUUUAGUGGAACUUCUGAGUAAAACAAACAAAUAAAUCAAAACUUUCAACAACGGAUCUCUUGGUUCUGGCAUCGAUGAAGAACGCAGCAAAAUGCGAUAAGUAAUGUGAAUUGCAGAAUUCAGUGAAUCAUCGAAUCUUUGAACGCACAUUGCGCCCGCCAGUAUUCUGGCGGGCAUGCCUGUUCGAGCGUCAUUUCAACCCUCAAGCUCAGCUUGGUGUUGGGACUCGCGGUAACCCGCGUUCCCCAAAUCGAUUGGCGGUCACGUCGAGCUUCCAUAGCGUAGUAAUAAUACACCUCGUUACUGGUAAUCGUCGCGGCCACGCCGUAAAACCCCAACUUCUGAAUGUUGACCUCGGAUCAGGUAGGAAUACCCGCUGAACUUAA
Molecule: ribosomal RNA, 541 nt
Filed under: Fusarium equiseti
Lineage: Eukaryota; Fungi; Ascomycota; Sordariomycetes; Hypocreales; Nectriaceae
Description: eukaryotic LSU rRNA
Rfam family: 5.8S ribosomal RNA (bases 195-348)
Source: RNAcentral